GGAGAAAGGUGAACAACCCUUCGGGGAACACGAUCGAGCUGGACCUAGGCAGCUCGGACGACGACGAGAUCAACAUAGUGCUGCGACGCUAGCUGAUGGCCUAGCUUGGCUGUCUCCAUGGCCAAGCGGCUUGCUGCUUUCUUUUCAAGAGGCUGUAAAUGUACACCAGAAGGAGCACACAAGGAAGGCCUACGGGAUUGCCGCCGCGCCCUUCCACAGCGACAGCAUAGGGAGUAGUCGAGGCCGAGGCGCCUAUGCAUGUUCUAUACUUGAUUCCCUGUUUAAGGUUUGGGAAUUCUGAAAUACCAGGGGCGAAUGUUUUCUGUUGCCUGUAAUUGGACGUUGGACGAGAUGAUAUGGAUUCAGAUUCAGUGCCUUGCGUGACCUUGUCAAAGGCUGACGACUGUACGGUGAGAUAACCAAAGCCGUAGACCCAGCCUCGG
Molecule: long non-coding RNA, 443 nt
Filed under: Triticum aestivum (bread wheat)
Lineage: Eukaryota; Viridiplantae; Streptophyta; Magnoliopsida; Poales; Poaceae
Description: long non-coding RNA (TAES_LNC009088)
Source: RNAcentral